CCAUCAAGCGCCGCCGAGAUUCCAACGGUUACUAGCGGCCGGCAGCUACCUAGCGGUUGCUCCCUCCUCAAGCCCGAUCAUCCCCUCGAUCUCGUCGGAGCGGGCGGAGACCGGGCCGCGGCGAUGACGGUGAUCGACAUCCUCAUGCGGGUGGACGCCAUCUGCCAGAAGUACGACAAGUUCGACACCGAGAAGCUCAACGGCACCAACGUCGCCGGCGAGGACCCCUUCGCCCGCCUCUACGGCUCCGUCGACGCCGAGAUCUCCCAGUGCGUAGAGGUACCCCGCCCCUUCUCCCUCCGC
Molecule: ribosomal RNA, 303 nt
Filed under: Triticum aestivum (bread wheat)
Lineage: Eukaryota; Viridiplantae; Streptophyta; Magnoliopsida; Poales; Poaceae
Description: partial small subunit ribosomal RNA
Source: RNAcentral